UGGGGAAUAUUGGACAAUGGGCGAAAGCCUGAUCCAGCAACGCCGCGUGGAGGACGAAGGCCCUAGGGUCGUAAACUCCUGUCAGGCGGGAAGAAAAGCUGUCGUCGAACAGGCGGCAGCGUUGACGGUACCGCCAGAGGAAGCCCCGGCUAACUCCGUGCCAGCAGCCGCGGUAACACGGAGGGGGCGAGCGUUAUUCGGAAUUACUGGGCGUAAAGGGCGCGUAGGCGGCCUGGCAAGUCAAAGGUGAAAGCCCUCGGCUCAACCGAGGAACAGCCUCUGAAACUGCCUGGCUUGAGGCCGGGAGGGGGUAGCGGAAUUCCUGGUGUAGCGGUGAAAUGCGUAGAUAUCAGGAGGAACACCGGUGGCGAAGGCGGCUACCUGGACCGGUUCUGACGCUGAGGCGCGAAAGCGUGGGGAGCAAACAGGAUUAGAUACCCCCGUAGUCC
Molecule: ribosomal RNA, 449 nt
Filed under: uncultured prokaryote
Description: partial 16S ribosomal RNA
Rfam family: Bacterial small subunit ribosomal RNA
Source: RNAcentral